This 440-nucleotide ribosomal RNA is filed under the name uncultured bacterium. RNAcentral's name for it is "partial 16S ribosomal RNA". It matches the Rfam family "Bacterial small subunit ribosomal RNA", at positions 338 to 795 of the family's 1533-position model. The record is from RNAcentral.
CCUACGUGGGGCUGCAGUGGGGAAUAUUGCACAAUGGGGGAAACCCUGAUGCAGCGACGCCGCGUGAGUGAUGAAGUAUUUCGGUAUGUAAAGCUCUAUCAGCAGGGAAGAUAAUGCCGGUACCUGACUCAGAAGCUCCGGCUAAAUACGUGCCAGCAGCCGCGGUAAUACGUAUGGAGCAAGCGUUAUCCGGAUUUACUGGGUGUAAAGGGAGCGCAGACGGCAGGGCAAGUCUGAUGUGAAAGUCCGGGGCUCAACCCCGGGACGGCAUUGGAAACUGUCCGGCUAGAGUGCAGGAGAGGUAAGUGGAAUUCCUAGUGUAGCGGUGAAAUGCGUAGAUAUUAGGAGGAACACCAGUGGCGAAGGCGGCUUACUGGACUGUAACUGACGUUGAGGCUCGAAAGCGUGGGGAGCAAACAGGAUUAGAUACCCGGGUAGUC